CGCGUAGGUGGUUCAGCAAGUUGGAGGUGAAAUCCCCGGGCUCAACCUGGGAACUGCCUCCAAAACUACUGAGCUAGAGUACGGCAGAGGGUAGUGGAAUUUCCUGUGUAGCGGUGAAAUGCGUAGAUAUAGGAAGGAACACCAGUGGCGAAGGCGACUACCUGGACUGAUACUGACACUGAGGUGCGAAAGCGUGGGGAGCAAACA
This 207-nucleotide ribosomal RNA is filed under the name uncultured bacterium. Its description in RNAcentral is "partial 16S ribosomal RNA". It matches the Rfam family "Bacterial small subunit ribosomal RNA", at positions 568 to 774 of the family's 1533-position model. The record is from RNAcentral.